RNAcentral lists this ribosomal RNA (449 nucleotides) under uncultured prokaryote. RNAcentral describes it as "bacterial SSU rRNA". It matches the Rfam family "Bacterial small subunit ribosomal RNA", at positions 355 to 796 of the family's 1533-position model. The record is from RNAcentral.
UGGGGAAUAUUGGACAAUGGGGGCAACCCUGAUCCAGCAAUGCCGCGUGUGUGAAGAAGGCCUGCGGGUUGUAAAGCACUUUCAGUAGGGAAGAAAAGCUUGGGGCGAAUAGCUUCGGGUGUUGACGUUACCUACAGAAGAAGCACCGGCUAACUCCGUGCCAGCAGCCGCGGUAAUACGGAGGGUGCGAGCGUUAAUCGGAAUUACUGGGCGUAAAGCGCGCGUAGGCGGUAAGGUCAGUCGGGUGUGAAAUCCCCGGGCUUAACCUGGGAAUUGCAUUCGAUACUGCCUGACUAGAGUCUGGUAGAGGAAGGCGGAAUUCCCGGUGUAGCGGUGAAAUGCGUAGAUAUCGGGAGGAACAUCAGUGGCGAAGGCGGCUUUCUGGACUAAGACUGACGCUGAGGCGCGAAAGCGUGGGGAGCAAACAGGAUUAGAUACCCCCGUAGUCC